Long non-coding RNA from Felis catus (domestic cat), 1384 nucleotides. RefSeq lists it as uncharacterized. The transcript is spliced from 2 exons. Lineage: Eukaryota; Metazoa; Chordata; Mammalia; Carnivora; Felidae. The record is from RefSeq and is a predicted model, not a curated record.
CUUCACCUCUUUCACUCACUCCCACCUCCUGCCCUUGGCAACCACCAAGAUGAUGCGAGAAGGAAAUGGGGCAGUGGCCAUUAGGACAGUGCCUGGCACUCACCCCGGUGCCAGCAAUGAGAGAUGCCAUUGUUAGGAUGACUCCAGCCUUGGGGAACAGAUAAGGGAACUGAUUCACUCCUUUCUCUUGCCUACUUGGCUCCAUUUCAUUGGAAGGCAACAGCUGAAGGGCAAGUGACUGAAACAGGAGUAAAGAGAUGUUUGGUCAGCACUUGCUCCAUGGUGGGGGCUAGUGGGAGGACAGGGAAGUCUGAGACGAUCCUGCUCUUAGGGAGUCGACCGCAGGGUGGAGAAGUCAAGACGGAGCCCCAGGGAACCAGGGGACAAGAGGGUCUACUGAACCUGUCAGCUGCAGCCUUGGCCACUCAAGGCACUGGGACCAAAUGAACAACACAGACAGGACCCCUGCCUUCACAGGAGCAGACCACACACAUGGAAACGAGUCAGUAAGCAGGCGAUUCUGAAAGAUGGGGUGACACAUGGAGCAUCUUCUCUGAGGAGACCACUGGGCUGCUGUGACCCGAUGAUGAAAAGCCUGUGAAGAUCUGGAGGAAGAAGUUUGUGGCAGAGGGAGCAGCAAGUUCAAGGACCUGUGCUCAGUUGGGGAAUAGACACAUUUUUUUUUUUUUAUGAAAAAAAUUCUAAUUAUUUAUUUAUUUAUUUAGAGAGGGGGGAGAGAGCGCGCGAGCAGGCGAGGGGCAGAGAGAGAGAGGGAGAGAGAGAAUCGCAAGCAGGUUCUGCGCUGUCGGCCCGGAGCCCGACGCAGGGGUGGAUCCCUCGAACUGUGAGAUCAUAACUGAGCCAAGAUCAAGAGUCGGCCACCCAAUUGACUGAGCCACCCAGGCACGCCGGAAUAGACACAUUUUAUAGCAGAAAGUCUCAACCGCCUUACCCAAAGCUGCCAUUUUGUGGACAAGCAGGCCGGGGCCAGAGGAGCUAGUAGGUAGACGAUUCCUCUCCCCCCUGGGCCAGGCAAGUCUGCAACUCCCCCCUCCAGCUUCAGCACACCCACCCUGGAGGCAUAGAACACGGUCCUGGGAGGAUCCUCUCUGGCUGGGUCCUCUCCCUCCUCUGUCUCAGCUGGAAAAUGCAUGCAGACGCGGGUAGGUGAGGGCAGCGUUUCGAGAGACCCUGGAGCCCUUUCUCCUUGUCUGUCCGUGGGGCACCUUAACAAUCACCAGCUGAAAAAACAAACUUGGGGGCAGCUCACCUCACAGCAGGUGCAGAGAUGCCAAGGCUGUGAGGGUCACAUGGGCCCCGAUUCUCCUCUCAGGGUGAGACAAGCAAGCGUGACCUGGAAGAAUAAAAGCAUUUGUGGUUCUGA